Molecule: ribosomal RNA, 466 nt
Filed under: Vreelandella stevensii
Lineage: Bacteria; Pseudomonadati; Pseudomonadota; Gammaproteobacteria; Oceanospirillales; Halomonadaceae
Description: partial 16S ribosomal RNA
Rfam family: Bacterial small subunit ribosomal RNA
Source: RNAcentral
CCUACGGGUGUGCAGCAGUGGGGAAUAUUGGACAAUGGGCGAAAGCCUGAUCCAGCCAUGCCGCGUGUGUGAAGAAGGCCUUCGGGUUGUAAAGCACUUUCAGUGGGGAAGAAAGCCUUGGGGCUAAUACCCUCGAGGAAGGACAUCACCCACAGAAGAAGCACCGGCUAACUCCGUGCCAGCAGCCGCGGUAAUACGGAGGGUGCGAGCGUUAAUCGGAAUUACUGGGCGUAAAGCGCGCGUAGGCGGUCUGAUAAGCCGGUUGUGAAAGCCCCGGGCUCAACCUGGGAACGGCAUCCGGAACUGUCAGGCUAGAGUGCAGGAGAGGAAGGUAGAAUUCCCGGUGUAGCGGUGAAAUGCGUAGAGAUCGGGAGGAAUACCAGUGGCGAAGGCGGCCUUCUGGACUGACACUGACGCUGAGGUGCGAAAGCGUGGGUAGCAAACAGGAUUAGAUACCCCAGUAGUC